AGACGUCUACAUUAGAUACCCGCGUAGUCCCAGCCGUAAACUAUGCGCGUUAGGUGUAUCGGUGACCACGAGUUACCGAGGUGCCGAAGGGAAACCGUGAAACGUGCCGCCUGGGAAGUACGGUCGCAAGGCUGAAACUUAAGGAAUUGGCGGGGAGCACCACAACAGGUGGAGCCUGCGGUUUAAUUGGACUCAACGCCGGGAAGCUCACCGGAUAGGACAGCAGAAUGAUUGCCGGGCUGAAGACCCUGCAUGACUAGCUG
This 263-nucleotide ribosomal RNA is filed under the name uncultured archaeon. RNAcentral describes it as "partial 16S ribosomal RNA". It matches the Rfam family "Archaeal small subunit ribosomal RNA", at positions 717 to 982 of the family's 1478-position model. The record is from RNAcentral.